AUACGUAGGGGGCAAGCGUUAAUCGGAAUUACUGGGCGUAAAGCGUGCGCAGGCGGUUUUGUAAGACAGAGGUGAAAUCCCCGGGCUCAACCUGGGAACUGCCUUUGUGACUGCAAGGCUAGAGGACUGAAGAGGGGGGUGGGAUUCCGCGUGUAGCAGUGAAACGCGUAGAUAUGCGGAGGAACACCGAUGGCGAAGGCAAUCCCCUGGGCCUGUACUGACGCUCAUGCACGAAAGCGUGGGGAGCAAACAGGAUUAGAUACCCUGGUAGUCCACGCCCUAAACGAUGUCAACUGGUUGUUGGGUCUUCAUUGACUCAGUAACGAAGCUAACGCGUGAAGUUGACCGCCUGGGGAGUACGGCCGCAAGGUUGAAACUCAAAUGAAUUGACGGGG
This 395-nucleotide ribosomal RNA is filed under the name uncultured bacterium. RNAcentral describes it as "partial 16S ribosomal RNA". It matches the Rfam family "Bacterial small subunit ribosomal RNA", at positions 523 to 918 of the family's 1533-position model. The record is from RNAcentral.